AUGGAACCCAAGUCCUCCUGGAUACUAGUCAGGUUUAUUACCACCUAACCACAACGGGAACUCCGGUAAUUCAUUUUAACUAGGAAAUUAGAUUGAGUGCAAUGUCAUGUUCUCCACGAGUUUGGCCAGGCACCAGGCUCUCGACAAGCUUUAUAAGGAACUCAGACUUUGGAGAAUUGCAAGUGAACAUGCAGAGUCAGAAGGCCUUGAAAGAGUAUCUGGUCAACCCUGUCUCUCAUGCACAGAGGAGUGAUUCACAUACAGAGACAAGAGGAAGUUUGCUCAUGGUCACAUGGCUUACUGGGCCCACAUAUUAGGUUUGAGAAUGUCUACCAAACUAUAUCCAAGAGGAUGCAAAUGUGGACCUCAACAUAGCCUUCUUAAUUAUAUCAGUAGAUAGCAGAAGCAGAGGGUGGAGAGUCUCACAUCACAGAGACAGUGAUUUUGAUUCUAGAAUGCAUUCUGCAUAACCUAAGCAUAUGAGUUUAGCUGAAGUCCUGGAAAUUCCCUUCAAACGAAAUGAGGAAAUGCAUGAUAAUGAUCUGACUCAUGAAUUGCCCAAAAGCCAUCCCAUAGCUCCACCCAGGCUCUUGCUCAACUCCUCUGCAAACCUGGCAUCUUCUGAAAAGGCAGAUUUCUUAGUGUCAGAGUGGUAGAAGACCUUUUUUCUGCCCAUCUUUUUCUGGGAGACACAGAACUCCCACUCAGGAAAGUAAACAGGAAAGAGUGUCCUGUUUCCAUCAAGAUAGAAUCUAACUAAUUCAGAGGAAACUGCUGCGAGUGAAUAUCCAGGAUGUCUCCAAAACAAAUGUUGGCUUUGGGAGGACUCUGCCCCUGUCCCAGAGGUCUGAUAUCAACAGGCAUUUUGGAAAAGCCCCGUCACCCUGACAUCACAGUUUCACUCCAGCAAAGGAGAUCCUAACCCCGGGGCUGUUGAAAGAAGAGGAUCUACAGGGACGAGUUUCACAUUUCUGUCUCUUGGGUUCUCCGGGGCCCACUUGACUGCUCAGACAUGGACGACCAGAUAGGUACAGCCCUAAAAAGCAAAAAAAAAAGUCUAGACGAAUGGAUGCAAAAAAAAUGGAAUACCUGCGGUGACUGACAGAAAAAAUGAUCUGACUCCUGAAAAAGAAGAGACAGUUUCUCAUCCCUUCCACCAAUACCACCAGAAAUGGCCCCAAGAGACAUUUGCAUUCCUGAUGCCCUCACUGUGGCAGAAGAGGUCAGGGUACUCUGAUUGACCAGGCUGGAGUCAUAUGACUGCUGGGUACCUGGAGGCAAGACAGAAGUUCUUCCAGGAAAAAGCAGGUGGCAGUUCCCAAAGGAAAUGGGGAGAGCUGGCGCUGCUGUCCUAGGAGACUCAGUGAACUUUUACUCGUGAUUUUUCUUCCGAUUGCUAUCGUGGAAAGAGGCUCUUUCCUGAUACUGAAUGCUUUGUUUGAAACUGGUCCUUUCUUUACCAUCUAGGGGAAUUUUCCAAACCAAAGCAUUCAUCCUAGACCGAUGGCCAGUGGAUCACAUUUAGCAAGGUUUCUUACAGGUUUAUCUUCAGAAUCCUGUAGAGAGCCAAAAACAACCAUUUUAAGGUAAAAUAGUAUAUAAUUUGGGAAAAUAUGCCCAUUUGUGAUGCAGAGCUAGUGAAGUAUAAAAAUAAAGCCAAUUUAGAGCCCUUGUUACAAUCCUUAAAGUAAUUCCCCUUUUAAGCAAAACAAUAAUAUUUUAUAUUUACAAACAUUGCCCUUCUGGUUCUUACAAUCACCUGGAAAAUGAGUAUAACACAAUUUGGUCAUAUUGUACUCAUUUUACAGUUGAAAAAAAAUUGAAAUGCAGAGAGGUUAAGAGGUUUUUCUCCAAAUAAUUUAGCUAAUGAGUGACAAAGCCAGGACUAGAUUCUAAAUUUCUGUAUUUUCUGGUUCCAAGUGUGGUAGAUUUUCUCUUGCUUCUGUCUUUUGACUGUGACCCAAAUGAUGUUAAAUAUCCAAACCUUUGCUUGGGUACUCUGAUAUGUUCCCUCUCCACAUCCCACCCCACCCCCUCGCCAUCAAACAUCUCAGCUCUGACCCUCUCUACCUGGAGACAGCAUCAGAUCCCACAAAGCUGUCCUACAAGGCUUCCCCUCCCCCCACCUCAGAGGCCAAUCAAAAGUCCAGGUUGUCAUCUGUGCUAUCGCUUGGAGGUUUCAAUGACCCCCCUCCUCGGGUUCAACUAAUUUGCUAGAGCAGCUCACAGAACUCAGAGAAAUAUUUCACUUACAAAAUUGCUGAUAUAUUAUAAAAGGAUGUACCUCUGGAAUAGCCCAAUGGGAGAUAGGCAUAGGGCAAAGUAUCAGGAAGGAGGAAGGAGCUUCCAGCUUCUCCAAGGGUGUCAGUCUCCCCAAGUCUCCAAGUUUUCACCAACCUGGAAGCUCUCCAAAUCCCAUCCUUCUGGGAAGCAUGGUUGAUUAAAUCAUUGACCACUGGUGAUCAAACUCAAUCUCCAGCCCCCUCCCUUCCUAGGCUGGAGGAUGGGACUAAAAGUUCCAACCCUCUAAUCACUAGGUUGUUUCCCUUGGCAACCAACCCUCAUCCUUUGGUUACCUAGGGGCUUUCCAAAAGUCACCUCACUAAUGUCACAAAAGACAGUUUUAUUGCUUUUAUUACUUAGGAAAUUCCAAGGGUUCUAGGAGCUCUGUGCCAUGUAUGGCGGAUGAAAACCAAAUAUGUAUUUCUUGUUAUAAAUUAUAAUCUCACAGGUAGUCUUUCCUUUACUUCACAGACUGUUUGAACAUGUGCAAUACACCUAAUCUGGUGUGAGAACUGAAAUAGAAUGUUGUUUCCAAGACCACUUUCUAUGUACUAAGAGAUCAUCUAAGGCCAAAUACACAGAAUUACCUAAGGAAAGCUGGGAAGUCAGGACCCAGAAUUCUUAUUGGAACAGCAUAUGUCUCUCAGUAUUUCACCCUAGUUCCACCAGUGUCAUUGCUCUGCUAUGUCUACAGUUGGGUAAGCAGUCAAUCUGUCAGGGAUAUUUGGUAGGUCCUAAUGCAGAGAUGGAAAACCAGUAUCAUGAUUAAAAAACAAAAUUCAAUAAACUAAAUUUUCCAGAAUUUUAUUGACUUUAUUCAAUGAUUCAUAAAUGGGGCAGCAUCCAUUCUAGCAGAUAGAAAGAAGCUCCGAGGAGCUGUGCAAAAUGAAAGACUUUCACAGGCUGAAGAGGGAAAUACAAGGAAGUCACACUAGGCAAAAAAGCAGGUUGGUUAUUGCAAAGUUACUUACCUUUAGGGGAUGGCAGUGUUGGCCUGGUGAUUCCUGAUGGGCUGAUUUAAGAUUUCAUUUCUGGGAGAGCUGCUAUAAUUAAAUUAUCUUGCUUUGGUGGCAUGGAACUUAACACAAAUGACUCCAUUUUGGUCCUGUUGUCUUGGGGUUUUUUUGGGGAGGUUGUUUGUUUUGGGUUUUUGUUGUUGUUGCUGUUGUUUUUGUCU
Molecule: non-coding RNA, 3460 nt
Organism: Sus scrofa (pig)
Lineage: Eukaryota; Metazoa; Chordata; Mammalia; Artiodactyla; Suidae
Source: RefSeq, a predicted model, not a curated record